UACGGAAGGGGCAAGCGUUGUUCGGAAUCAUUGGGCGUAAAGGGCGCGUAGGUGGUUCUGUGUGUCUACCGUGAAAGCGUACGGCUCAACCGUAUUUUGUCGGUAGAAGCUGCAGGACUUGAGGCUGGGAGGGGCUGGUGGAAUUCCCUGUGUAGCGGUGAAAUGCGUAGAGAUGGGGGAGAACACUCGUGGCGAAGGCGGCCAGCUAGACCAGUUCUGACACUGAGGCGCGACAGCGUGGGGAGCAAACAGG
This 253-nucleotide ribosomal RNA is filed under the name uncultured bacterium. Its description in RNAcentral is "partial 16S ribosomal RNA". It matches the Rfam family "Bacterial small subunit ribosomal RNA", at positions 524 to 776 of the family's 1533-position model. The record is from RNAcentral.